This 497-nucleotide ribosomal RNA is filed under the name uncultured bacterium. RNAcentral's name for it is "partial 16S ribosomal RNA". It matches the Rfam family "Bacterial small subunit ribosomal RNA", at positions 28 to 507 of the family's 1533-position model. The record is from RNAcentral.
GAUGAACGCUGGCGGCGUGCCUAAUACAUGCAAGUCGAGCGAACGGACGAGAAGCUUGCUUCUUUGAUGUUAGCGGCGGACGGGUGAGUAACACGUGGAUAACCUACCUAUAAGACUGGGAUAACUUCGGGAAACCGGAGCUAAUACCGGAUGAUAUUUUGAACCGCAUGGUUCAAAAGUGAAAGACGGUCUUGCUGUCACUUAUAGAUGGAUCCGCGCUGCAUUAGCUAGUUGGUAAGGUAACGGCUUACCAAGGCAACGAUGCAUAGCCGACCUGAGAGGGUGAUCGGCCACACUGGAAGUGAGACACGGUCCAGACUCCUACGGGAGGCAGCAGUAGGGAAUCUUCCGCAAUGGGCGAAAGCCUGACGGAGCAACGCCGCGUGAGUGAUGAAGGUCUUCAGAUCGUAAAACUCUGUUAUUAGGGAAGAACAUAUGUGUAAGUAACUGUGCACAUCUUGACGGUACCUAAUCAGAAAGCCACGGCUAACUACGUG